RNAcentral lists this transfer-messenger RNA (396 nucleotides) under Candidatus Cloacimonadota bacterium. It matches the Rfam family "transfer-messenger RNA". From Rfam's summary of the family: Bacterial tmRNA, also known as 10Sa RNA or SsrA, is named for its dual tRNA and mRNA-like properties. Its role is to liberate the mRNA from a stalled ribosome. To accomplish this part of the tmRNA is used as a reading frame that ends in a translation stop signal. Lineage: Bacteria; Pseudomonadati; Candidatus Cloacimonadota. The record is from RNAcentral. RNAcentral also lists the same sequence under 1 other name.
GGGGGCGUCUUGGAAUCGAAGUAGAAAACAAGAUGCCAAUUGCAUGCCGAGGAAUCUCAGUUGGCCUCGUAAAAACCUCUGAGAAAACAAUAAAUGCUAACACAAGUAGCACUUUCGCAAUGGCGGCUUAAUCGCCUCCGUUGAGAAGCCUAAACGAUAGAGUUGUCCUAACAUCUAUCUGCGGUUAAUAGAAUAGGAAUGACAGCCUGAAAGAAGGAGAGGCCGGAUAAGCGCUCCGCCGGAAGAUAGCCGAAAGGCAUGGCUCGACCAAGCUUUGGCAGACUGGGAAGACAGACAAAGGAUUGCUGAAUGUUCCUUAAACAUCAGAUAAGCAUGUGAAUGAAAUUGGUUUUAAGCUUUUUACUCACAGGAGUUCGAAUCUCCUCGCCUCCACCA